This 27-nucleotide unclassified non-coding RNA is filed under the name Mus musculus (house mouse). RNAcentral's name for it is "oocyte_clustered_small_RNA10778". Lineage: Eukaryota; Metazoa; Chordata; Mammalia; Rodentia; Muridae. The record is from RNAcentral.
UUGAUCUUAGCUAUUCUGACUGCUGUG